RNAcentral lists this ribosomal RNA (483 nucleotides) under uncultured bacterium. RNAcentral describes it as "bacterial SSU rRNA". It matches the Rfam family "Bacterial small subunit ribosomal RNA", at positions 20 to 518 of the family's 1533-position model. The record is from RNAcentral.
UGGCUCAGGACGAACGCUGGCGGCAUGCCUAACACAUGGCAAGUCGAACGGAGUAAUGACUCGGUAUACUAGUGGCGAACGGGUGAGUAACACGUGAAUAAUCUGCCCUGUACGAUGGGAUAACAGCUGGAAACGGCUGCUAAUACCGUAUAUGACCACGCCGAGGCAUCUCGGAGGGGUGAAAGCGCUUAAGCGGUACAGGAUGAGUUCGCGUCCAAUUAGCUAGCUGGUGAGGUAACGGCCCACCAAGGCGACGAUUGGUAGCCGACCUGAGAGGGUGAUCGGCCACACUGGAACUGAGACACGGUCCAGACUCCUACGGGAGGCAGCAGUGGGGAAUAUUGGGGCAAUGGAGGAAACUCUUACCCCAAGCAAUGCCGCGUGAGUGAUGAAGGUCUUCGGAUUGUAAAGCUCUUUGAUUGGGGACGAAUAAAUGACGGUACCCAAGGAACAAGCCCCGGCUAACUAUGUGCCAGCCGCCGC